CACAAUCAACCAUCUGCUCCUAUGCACGUGCCUAUCUACCCAACUAGAUUAAUGCUGCCAGAGGAAAAGGAUUAUGUCAUCUAUACAUAUAUAAAUAUGUGUGUGAGCGUGUACCCACAAUGUGUAACUUAAUUAGGCUGAAUUAAAUUAUAUUUUUUCUCUUAGUGUUACGAAGCUUAUCACUGGAUUCUGCAAUAAAGUGGAGAUUUUGUCCUAUUUUUUCCAUGCUCUGCCUUCACAUCCCGUUGAUAUUAAAAGUGAACUGAGCUGUUCUGGAUGGGCCAUAAAACUGGAAGGUAUACAGCCAAUUGAAAAUAGAGAUCUUAUGGGAACAAUUCUGCAAGAAUGUCUGAAGAGGUCUGUGGAAGGCAAGUCCCAAGGAGAAAAGGAAAGAGAGAUAAGAAGGCUGUUCUGCAAAACUGCGAAGCCCUCAGAAGAAACAAAGGGAACAGAGAAGACAGCCUAGCGGGGAGGCGGGGAUUUUGUACUUUCCUAAUUCUGGCAUGUGCAUUCCUCACAAAAUUCAUGGCUAUCAGCUCAUUCAAGAGUUCACUUACAAUAUGUUGGUUGGGCUAGAUUCUUCAAGCAUUUAAGUGUAGACGCUAAGAGGUAAAUGCAGAUUUCUCAAUUUGAAAAGGA
RNAcentral lists this long non-coding RNA (639 nucleotides) under Homo sapiens (human). RNAcentral's name for it is "HSALNT0141685". Lineage: Eukaryota; Metazoa; Chordata; Mammalia; Primates; Hominidae. The record is from RNAcentral.